UGCGUGUCAGUGCACAGGUGCACAGGUGUGUGCAGGUGUGUGCAGGUGUGUGCAGGUGUGUGCAGGUGUGCAAAGGUGUGUGUACAGGUGUGUACAGGUGUGUGCAGGUGUGUGCAGGUGUGUGCAGGUGUGCAAAGGUGUGUGUACAGGUGUGUAC
This 157-nucleotide long non-coding RNA is filed under the name Lonchura striata (white-rumped munia). RNAcentral describes it as "domestica (Bengalese finch) lncRNA (ENSLSDG00000015754.1)". Lineage: Eukaryota; Metazoa; Chordata; Aves; Passeriformes; Estrildidae. The record is from RNAcentral.